Molecule: non-coding RNA, 396 nt
Organism: Mus caroli (Ryukyu mouse)
Lineage: Eukaryota; Metazoa; Chordata; Mammalia; Rodentia; Muridae
Source: RefSeq, a predicted model, not a curated record
CGGUCUCUGCUCGCUUCGGCGGCUUCAGCCCGGCCUGACUGGUGCCCGCUGCGUCGGGAGCAGCCCCGAGCGCACGCGCCUGGGCGUCAGCUGGACCACCCACGGUGAGGGUGAAGGACUCAUUUCAAACUGUGCUGAGAAGGGUUGUGCUGGCCACUAAACCCAGGCUUGGUGGUGAGAGACUUCAAAACAGGAGCCGAGGAAAGGAGAAAUUCAACCCAGAAUUUGAGUUACUCGCCUGUCUAAACGGGAAACCGGACAACCAGACCGACUGCCUCAACCACCUGAAAUCCGCGUCCUUGACCCAAACAAAGACAGGACCUCACAGAAGCGAACUGCAGUGUCCCAAAUCGAACAGCAGAGGGAAACAGAGGUACAAGAAGCUCUGGAUCAGGU